Long non-coding RNA from Limulus polyphemus (Atlantic horseshoe crab), 134 nucleotides. RefSeq lists it as uncharacterized. Lineage: Eukaryota; Metazoa; Arthropoda; Merostomata; Xiphosura; Limulidae. The record is from RefSeq and is a predicted model, not a curated record. The transcript is spliced from 3 exons.
AGCCGUCCCUAAUUUAGCAGUGGAAGUGUUUGUUUGUAGUUAAGCACAAAGCUACACAAUAGGCUAUCUGUGCACUGUUUCACCACGGGCAUCGAACCCCUAUUUAAAGGGCGUUGUAAGCCCACCGACAUACC